AACGCAUCUUGCACUAUUCGGCUUCCCCGGAUAGUAUGCCUGGUUGAGUGUCUGUGUAUCUCUCCUAAUCUAAUGUUUUUGUGAUGUUAGAAUAGGGACUUGGGGUCUCUUUACUCGUCGGAAGCUUUUGCUUAGCACCCGGUGAACCCUUUAAAUAUAGUAAGCUCCCAUCUUUUUUGGAAAUACGCAAACUUGAGGAUGGCGUCGUAGCAAUCACUUUUAGUAUUGUCGAAACGCCUAUUAACAACUCCUCUAAUCUGCGGUGCUAAUCCAUUUCAGUGGGCGAAGCUUGUCGACUGGCAAAGUGCCAUGCUCUCUUAAUGGAGUACACGAACAAUAAUGACCUCAACUCAGGUAGGACGACCCGCUGGACUUAA
Molecule: unclassified non-coding RNA, 377 nt
Filed under: uncultured fungus
Lineage: Eukaryota; Fungi
Description: partial contains 5.8S ribosomal RNA, internal transcribed spacer 2, and large subunit ribosomal RNA
Source: RNAcentral